This 718-nucleotide long non-coding RNA is filed under the name Mustela putorius furo (domestic ferret). Its description in RNAcentral is "lncRNA (ENSMPUG00000031914.1)". The record is from RNAcentral. Lineage: Eukaryota; Metazoa; Chordata; Mammalia; Carnivora; Mustelidae.
CGUGGCUCUGCUUUUUGAUGCAAAGGUGAAAGGCAGGCACAUGGGCCUGGGGAGAGAAGCUGGUCAAGGGGAAUGGGCAGGGCCUAGCAGAACCUGGCUGUCCAGACAAAUGAAAUCAAUUUAAAAAAAGAAGAAAGAGUUGUAGUACCUUCUAGGAGAAGACUAGAAGCUGCUUUCCAUCUCACCUCUGCAGGGACAUUUCAGUGUUGGUCCCGAGAACACCCCAGUAAAUCAUGUGCAUGCAGACAUCUGUCUCAGAUUAGAGCCCAUUCCCAGGAAUCUGAUCUAUGAGCAGACACAUGAGAAUAGACAUUUAUCCUGAGAACGGGAAGCUGGUACGAAUAGGAGAAGAUUUCAGGCUCUGUGUGGGACAGGAAAGAACCAGCCCUCAGGAACCUUCCUCCAGAAAGGGCAUUUGCCAGUGCAGCCUUGCUGGGUUCCCUCUGUCUUCCCCAGCUUUCCUGCCCUGGGGCUCCAUGGACUCCUGGAGGCUUGUGCGCAGCCCCCCAGGAAGACAGGGUAAUGGAAUCCUUCUGCAGAGUUGAGAAGAUUAGGAAUUCUAUAGGGAGAAUGAAGCCUGGCUGGAGAAAGCGAGUUGCCCACAUGGACAAGGGCACAUCAGGAGUGGACCCAGGGUAAGGAGGAAGUGACUUGACAUCUUGAGCUCGGAUCUUUUGCCUGUAAAAUGUGGGUUGGGUACGAUCCAGGUCCUGCUGAG